GACGAACGCUGGCGGCGUGCCUAAUACAUGCAAGUCGAGCGGACCGGAUUGGGGCUUGCCUUGAUUCGGUCAGCGGCGGACGGGUGGGUAACACGUGGGCAACCUGCCCGCAAGACCGGGAUAACUCCGGGAAACCGGAGCUAAUACCGGAUAACACCGCCUACCGCAUGGUCUUCGGUUGAAAGGCGGCCUUUGGGCUGUCACUUGCGGAUGGGCCCGCGGCGCAUUAGCUAGUUGGUGAGGUAACGGCUCACCAAGGCGACGCUGCGUAGCCGGCCUGAGAGGGUGGACGGCCACACUGGGACCGGGACACGGGCCAGAAUCCCACGGGAGGGAGGAGGAGGGAAACUUCCGCAAUGGGCGGAAGCCUGACGGCGGGACGCCGGGGGAGGGAAGAAGGCCCUCGGGUCGGAAAGCUCCGUUGGGAGGGACGAAGGAGCGUCGUUCGAAGAGGGCGGCGCGGUGACGGUACCUCACGAGAAAGCCCCGGCUAACUACGUG
Molecule: ribosomal RNA, 501 nt
Filed under: uncultured bacterium
Lineage: Bacteria
Description: partial 16S ribosomal RNA
Rfam family: Bacterial small subunit ribosomal RNA
Source: RNAcentral